This 328-nucleotide long non-coding RNA is filed under the name Fukomys damarensis (Damara mole-rat). RNAcentral describes it as "lncRNA (ENSFDAG00000022759.1)". Lineage: Eukaryota; Metazoa; Chordata; Mammalia; Rodentia; Bathyergidae. The record is from RNAcentral.
AGGAUUUCCAUGGGUUCUAAUCAUGAAGCUAAUAAAGGGCUAGCAAUUCUCAAUUCUGAACUAGUGUUCCACAGGACAGUCCAUGUACUCAUGCGUUCAGGAAUGAAGAGGGACACUGAAGCUAAUGGGUUCCCAUGCUCAUGUACAGGAGGAGAUGUUCAAGGGGAUUGUUCAAUAACAUGGUCAUGGAAGACAGAGGACUCAAGAGAAGAUGACUUCUUAACAGAGAUAAAUAUUGUUUUCAACAAGUGAAUUAAAACUGUGAAGCACAAACAUCCAAAACAAUCACUAUUACCAAAAUAAAAGAGAUAAAGUAAACAAGCAGAGA